GAUGAACGCUGACAGAAUGCUUAACACAUGCAAGUCGAUGGGGAAGUGGUGCUUGCACCAUGGUAACCAUGGCGGACGGGUGAGUAACGCGUAAGGAACUUACCUGCGGGACCGGGAUAACAGCAGGAAACUGCUGACAAGACCGGAUAAGGUCAUUAAGCUGCAUAGCUUAGUGAUGAAAGGAGACGCCUGCGGAGAGCCUUGCGUCCUAUUAGCUAGUUGGAGGGGUAACGGCCCACCAAGGCGAAGAUAGGUAGCCGGCCUGAGAGGGUGGACGGCCACAAGGGGACUGAGAUACGGCCCUUACUCCUACGGGAGGCAGCAGGGGGGAAUAUUGGACAAUGGGGGCAACCCUGAUCCAGCAAUUCUGUGUGCACGAAGACGGUUUUCGGAUUGUAAAGUGCUUUCAGCAGGGAAGAAGGAAGUGACGGUACCUGCAGAAGAAGCGACGGCUAAAUACGUG
Molecule: ribosomal RNA, 463 nt
Filed under: uncultured bacterium
Lineage: Bacteria
Description: partial 16S ribosomal RNA
Rfam family: Bacterial small subunit ribosomal RNA
Source: RNAcentral